UAGGAAUCUUCCACAAUGGGCGAAAGCCUGAUGGAGCGACACCGCGUGAAGGAUGAAGGCCCUAGGGUCGUAAACUUCUAAAAGAGGGACGAUAAUGACGGUACCUCUUGAGAAGCACCGGCUAACUCCGUGCCAGCAGCCGCGGUAAUACGGAGGGUGCAAGCGUUAUCCGGAAUCACUGGGCGUAAAGGGCGCGUAGGCGGUCUGUUAAGUCUGGCGUUAAAGCCUGGGGCUCAACCCCAGAUCAGCGUUGGAUACUGGCAGGCUAGACGGCUGGAGAGGCGAGUGGAAUUACCAGUGUAGCGGUGGAAUGCGUAGAUACUGGUAGGAACACCCAUUGCGAAGGCAGCUCGCUGGACAGCACGUGACGCUGAGGCGCGAAAGUGUGGGGAGCAAACC
Molecule: ribosomal RNA, 399 nt
Filed under: uncultured Deinococcales bacterium
Lineage: Bacteria; Thermotogati; Deinococcota; Deinococci; Deinococcales
Description: bacterial SSU rRNA
Rfam family: Bacterial small subunit ribosomal RNA
Source: RNAcentral